This 264-nucleotide unclassified non-coding RNA is filed under the name plant metagenome. Its description in RNAcentral is "partial contains small subunit ribosomal RNA, internal transcribed spacer 1, and 5.8S ribosomal RNA". The stretch from base 1 to 55 matches the Rfam family "Eukaryotic small subunit ribosomal RNA", at positions 1778 to 1831 of the family's 1831-position model. The record is from RNAcentral.
GGAAGUAAAAAGUCGUAACAAGGUUUCCGUAGGUGAACCUGCGGAAGGAUCAUUAUUGAAUGAAACACUUCUGGCUUUAUGCUGUUGUGCUGGCCCUUUGGGCAAUGUGCACACGGCUCUGGUCACUUGUUUCUUCUGUUCCACCUGUGCACUGCCUGUAGACACGCUGUGUCUAUGAUAUUUGUUAACACACAACAAUGUUAGUUGGCAUGUUAUAUAUAAUAAUAAAAUAUACAACUUUCAACAACGGAUCUCUUGGCUCUC